CCCACUGGGCUCACCUACAUUUCAGGGGUAUCCUGGGACUGAGGCAGAGGCUUUCACCUGGGGCAAUAUUAACACUCAGCAAAAUUAGGAAGGAGGAUGAAGGAAUCAGCAUGGUGGAGUGGAAAUAUGGUGCACAUUUAGUCAAAAAGAUUUGGAUCUGAAUUCAUAGCCGUGUGGCCUGGGGCAAGUUGUGAAGAGGGGAUGGUGCCAUCUGCUUUACAGGAGAGAAAUCUAGAAGUGGAAUUGCUGAGCUGUAGAGUAUGUGAAUCUCUACAACUUUCAACUUUACCAUGUAUUGUCAAAUUGCUCUCCAAAGUGAUGGUACCAAUUAAUGAUACUACCAAUAAGGAUCUCAACAGGACAAACACAAAGAAAAUAUCAAGGUGCAUCAUAGACAAAUUAUUGAAAAUCAGCAAUAAGGAGAAAACCUUAAAAACAGCAAGAUAAAAAGAUGCAUUAUGUGUAAAAUUAAAAAAGAAAACAAUGAUUGCUGAAUUCUUAUCAUACCAAUGCACAAAAGACAACAGAACAAUAUCUUUAAUGUGUGAAAAGUAAAAAAAAAAAUGUCAAACUAAGUUUUACAUUCAGGAAAAAUAUUCUUUGAAAAUAGAAGACAAUGAGAUUUCUGAUUUGUGGUUAUCACUCCCAUUCUCAUAAUAAGAAAAAAUCUGAAAAAACUGGAAAUCCACAACUCUUCUUAAAAUUGAGGUAACAGGGCAAGCCACUACCUUGAAUAUUAGAGACAGGAAGAUACAAAGAAUUCAGCUUAAAGAAAGAAGGAAGCCUUGGAGGAGAAGCCUGGUGCUGGAGCCUGUACCACUUUCCACAACAUCAACUGUGCUACUGUAUAAUAACAGGGCAUUAUAGCCAAAGAACUGUAAGCCUCAGACCCUAUUUAAGGAAGAGUCUCCAGGGAAAUCUAAAAAUAACAGGGAAGACUAAAACAAGGACACCCAGAGAAAAUGCUAGCCUUUGAUAUGUACAGCUAUAGCAACUGGCAAACACAAUGUAACUCCUAGCCAGAUCAACAUUGAACCUCACACAAAAGGUCUAUUUACUUCAUUUCCUUCUAAUUGAUACAUCCUCUCAGGCUGUCAGCAAAAAACUAGAAGACGUGAAAAUGCAAAAACUCUGUCUGAAGAGAGAAAGCAUGCCUUAGACUCAGACUGGCAGAAAUUUUGAGUGAUCAAACCAGAUAUUUAAAAUAACUAUGAUUAAAAUGCUAGCAGAAUGGAAAAAGUAAACAACAUGCACAAAUGGAAGGCAAAACAAAGACAUUUUCAAAUAAGCAAAAGGUGAUAGAAUGUGUCAUCCACAGACCUGCACUAUAAAAAAUGGUAGAGGAAGUUCUUCAGUAUGAAAGUGAAUGAUACCAGAUGGAAACUGAGAUCUACAAAAUGAAACAUCACUGGAAAUAGUAAAUACAUGGAGAAAGGCUCAGUCUAGCAGCAGAGCAAACUGGACAUUUUCUCACCAUUUGUUUCACCAGAGAAAGGAAGGGACAGCAACUUGGAGUCUGGAGCUGACGCAGAGGAUGUUUCUUGAUAUCUUCAACUUGAACCUGUCUCACUUGACAGAUUUAUGCUGCCAGAGUGGUUCUUCUAGUAAGAAGCCCCUUGCCAUCAGACACUGCAUUUCACUUGGUGAUUUUCCAGACUCCUCAAAUCUUUUAUGGAAAGAGAGUUUCACCUGCCACCUGGAUCAUUUCCUAUUUUUCUGCAGCCACUUCAGGGCGGGGACCCAGUAUCACGAAGCUGCAAGCUUUGCUGCCAGUUUUCCAUCCAUCCCCCGGGGCUGAGAUGAGGUGAGAGGCCGCAAAUCCUAUCUAUGAAGAUAGGCACUUCCAUUCAUUCUGAAGUCCUCACAUAGUAGUUAUUCAGUGAAUGUACCCUGGGAUCCACUUUUCACCUUUCCCCUUACCUGCUUUGUGCUUCAAGAAACUGACUUCAACAGACAGCAUCAUCUGGGCUUCUUUACCCUGUAGUGUUCAGCUGAGUUCAGCCAAUGGAAGACACUAGUAGAAGACUGGAAGGAUAGAGGAGAGAAAGAUUGGAAUAUUUAUUCCCAUCUCAUACUACAGUUUUUGUAGUGAUGGUUCUUCCUAUUGGACAGCUUCCACCUAUAACUACAGUUCUCUCCUGGUUCCAGAAACUGCUUUCUCCACUUCUGACCUAGGAGUAGCCACAGCUCCCAGCUGUUGUUAGACCCCAGGUGUAUUUUGUCAUCUCUUGUUACUUCCCUUAACCCUGCCACAGCUCUGAAAAUAGUCCAGUAAUUAAAUACUUUUUGAGCUAUU
RNAcentral lists this long non-coding RNA (2296 nucleotides) under Homo sapiens (human). RNAcentral's name for it is "HSALNT0292374". The record is from RNAcentral. Lineage: Eukaryota; Metazoa; Chordata; Mammalia; Primates; Hominidae.